AUGAUAGAUCAUUCAUGUUUAAAUUCAUGAUUAAGUUCAUGUGGUAGAUUGCUUGUUGGUUGGCUAUGAGAAAGCUCAAGUAUAAGAAUAAGUGAAGAUACUAGUAUUAGUUUGUGCAAGAUCAAGAUUUGCAGGUGAAUUUUGGAUGUGCAUGGGAGCAUACUAGGAAGGGGAUCUUCACCUAGAUUAGAGUGUUUCAUUUAUUUUGAGUAUUGAGACAAUAUUUACUUUUAUUAAUAAAGAAGUAUUAUUAUUUUUGGUUAAA
This is a long non-coding RNA of Beta vulgaris subsp. vulgaris (sugar beet), 265 nucleotides long. RefSeq lists it as uncharacterized. The transcript has 2 exons. The record is from RefSeq and is a predicted model, not a curated record. NCBI's taxonomy places the organism in Eukaryota, Viridiplantae, Streptophyta, Magnoliopsida, Caryophyllales, Amaranthaceae.